This 446-nucleotide ribosomal RNA is filed under the name uncultured bacterium. RNAcentral describes it as "bacterial SSU rRNA". It matches the Rfam family "Bacterial small subunit ribosomal RNA", at positions 29 to 506 of the family's 1533-position model. The record is from RNAcentral.
AUGAACGCUGGCGGCGUGGAUAAGGCAUGCAAGUCGAACGGUCUAAGACCCGCAAGGGUUUUAGAUAGUGGCGAACGAGUUAGUAACACCUUGGUACAUCCCUCAAAGUCGGGCACAACGGGUCGAAAGAUCCGCUAAUUCCCGAUGGUCUCGCAAGAGUAAAGUCGCAAGACGCUUUGAGAGUGGCCUAGGUCCUAUCAGCUUGUUGGCGGGGUAACGGCCCACCAAGGCUACGACGGGUAGGGGGCGUGAGAGCGUGGCCCUCAACGAUGGAACUGAGACACGGUCCAUACACCUACGGGUGGCAGCAGUCGAGAAUAUUCGACAAUGGGCGAAAGCCUGAUCGAGCGACGCCGCGUGCAGGAAGAAGCUCUUCGGAGUGUAAACUGCUUUUGCGUGGGAAGAACUUUGACGGUACCACGAGAAUAAGGGGUUGCUAACCUCGU